Molecule: ribosomal RNA, 253 nt
Filed under: uncultured bacterium
Lineage: Bacteria
Description: partial 16S ribosomal RNA
Rfam family: Bacterial small subunit ribosomal RNA
Source: RNAcentral
UACGAAGGGGGCUAGCGUUGUUCGGAAUUACUGGGCGUAAAGCGCGCGCAGGCGGUCUCUUAAGUCUGAUGUGAAAUCCCGUGGCUUAACCACGGGCGGUCAUUGGAAACUGGGGGACUUGAGUGCAGAAGAGAAGAGCGGAAUUCCACGUGUAGCGGUGAAAUGCGUAGAGAUGUGGAGGAACACCAGUGGCGAAGGCGGCUCUUUGGUCUGUAACUGACGCUGAGGCGCGAAAGCGUGGGGAGCGAACAGG